Molecule: ribosomal RNA, 306 nt
Filed under: Triticum aestivum (bread wheat)
Lineage: Eukaryota; Viridiplantae; Streptophyta; Magnoliopsida; Poales; Poaceae
Description: partial small subunit ribosomal RNA
Source: RNAcentral
AUGAUGCAACCACAAGGUUUUGUCGAUCCUAAAGGUGCUAACAAAGUGUGCAAGCUCCAACGAUCCAUCUAUGGACUAGUGCAAGCAUCUCGGAGUUGGAAUAUACAGUUUCAUGAGGUGAUCAAAGCAUAUGGUUUUAUACAGACUUAUGGUGAAGCCUGUAUUUACAAGAAAGUGAGUGGGAGCUCUGUAGCAUUUCUGAUAUUAUAUGUGGAUGACAUAUUGUUGAUUGGAAAUGAUAUUGAAUUUCUGGAUAGCAUAAAAGGAUACUUGAAUAAGAAUUUUUCAAUGAAAAAACCUCGGUGA